GCGAGAAUAGGAAAGGAAAACGCGAGAGCGGUGGGUCUGAUGUCUCUGCGCAUACGCAGCGUCCGCCCUGGAGGAGGAAGGAGGCGUAGAUGCUAAAGCCUCGCGAGACCUGGAAGGGAAAACGCGACGUCAGAGGCGACACUGCUGAUGCUAUUGCCGAUUCCGGACAGCGCGCAUGCGCAGAAAACAGCAAGAGCGGGAUGGGGAAACGCUGGCGGCCUCGCUUAGGACUGCGCGCAUGCGCAAAACCAACCAACGUUUCGUCUGAGGAAGGACCCCUUCGCAUAGUUUACUCUUCAUCGAGGCUGUCUACCACGUUCGCAUGACUCGAAAAUUAUAUAUAUAUAUAUAUACAGUAUAUGAACCUAUUGGAAGCGGAGAGGUCCUUCAGGCGUUUAGCCUAGACAGCCUCAAAACCGGGUUAAAUUUUGCCUUUACAGCAGGAAGUUUUUCAAAGAAAGAAAAACGUUCCUUUUCCCGUUAUCCUCGUUACUUUCAGGGAAUAAAAGACUUUCCAAAUGAUGGAGAGAAAGGCAAAGAGCAGUUUAAAGGCGCCAAAGGGACUGAAACGCUGUGUUUCGAAAGAGGAGGUACUCCUUCCUCCUCGUCUCGACGGACAUCGCGUCCCGAGUGUGAAUCGUGGGACUGUUUACCGCGUCGGUUAUGCUUGGAACCGCGGCGGGAGACUGAAAGAACUGCG
This is a long non-coding RNA of Sceloporus undulatus (fence lizard), 700 nucleotides long. RefSeq lists it as uncharacterized. The transcript has 4 exons. The record is from RefSeq and is a predicted model, not a curated record. NCBI's taxonomy places the organism in Eukaryota, Metazoa, Chordata, Lepidosauria, Squamata, Phrynosomatidae.